GACGAACGCUGGCGGCGUGCCUAAUACAUGCAAGUUGAGCGCUGAAGGUUGGUACUUGUACCGACUGGAUGAGCAGCGAACGGGUGAGUAACGCGUGGGGAAUCUGCCUUUGAGCGGGGGACAACAUUUGGAAACGAAUGCUAAUACCGCAUAACAACUUUAAACACAAGUUUUAAGUUUGAAAGAUGCAAUUGCAUCACUCAAAGAUGAUCCCGCGUUGUAUUAGCUAGUUGGUGAGGUAAAGGCUCACCAAGGCGAUGAUACAUAGCCGACCUGAGAGGGUGAUCGGCCACAUUGGGACUGAGACACGGCCCGAACUCCUACGGGAGGCAGCAGUAGGGAAUCUUCGGCAAUGGACGAAAGUCUGACCGAGCAACGCCGCGUGAGUGAAGAAGGUUUUCGGAUCGUAAAACUCUGUUGGUAGAGAAGAACGUUGGUGAGAGUGGAAAGCUCAUCAAGUGACGGUAACUACCCAGAAAGGGACGGCUAACUACGUGCCAGCAGCCGCAGUAA
This 513-nucleotide ribosomal RNA is filed under the name uncultured bacterium. RNAcentral's name for it is "partial 16S ribosomal RNA". It matches the Rfam family "Bacterial small subunit ribosomal RNA", at positions 28 to 523 of the family's 1533-position model. The record is from RNAcentral.